GGGGGGGGGGGGGGGGGGGCGGGGGGCGGGCGGGGCGGGCGGUGGCAGGCGGCGGGGUGCUGGCGAGUGGCGGGCGGGGGGGUGAUGCAGCGGAACGUGCCCAGUCGUGGGGGAUAACUACUCGACAGAGUAGCUAAUACCGCAUACGAUCUAUGGAUGACAGCGGGGGACCGUACGGCCUCGCGCGAUUGGAGCGGCCGAUGUCAGAUUAGGUAGUUGGUGGGGUACAGGCUCACCAAGCCAACGCUCUGUAGAUGGUCUGAGAGGCCGACCAGCCACACGGGGAGUGAGACACGGCCCAGACUCCUACGGGAGGCAGCAGUGGGGAAUUUUGGACAAUGGGCGCAAGCCUGAUCCAGCAAUGCCGCGUGCAGGAAGAAGGCCUUCGGGUUGUAAACUGCUUUUGUACGGAACGAAACGGCUCUGGUUAAUACCCGGGGCUAAUGACGGUACCGUAAGAAUAAGCACCGGCUAACUACGUG
This 482-nucleotide ribosomal RNA is filed under the name uncultured bacterium. RNAcentral's name for it is "partial 16S ribosomal RNA". It matches the Rfam family "Bacterial small subunit ribosomal RNA", at positions 35 to 507 of the family's 1533-position model. The record is from RNAcentral.